Molecule: long non-coding RNA, 547 nt
Filed under: Citrus maxima (pomelo)
Lineage: Eukaryota; Viridiplantae; Streptophyta; Magnoliopsida; Sapindales; Rutaceae
Description: long non-coding RNA (CMAX_LNC001852)
Source: RNAcentral
CUCCAUAGUUGUUCUGCGGUGGCGGCGCUCCUCCAUAGUUGUUCUGUGGUGGCGGCGCUCCUCCAUAGUUGCUCUGUAGUGGCGGCGUCCCUCCAUACUUGUUCUGUGGUGGCGGCGCUCCUCCAUAGUUGUUCUGUGGUGGCGGCGCUCCUCCAUAGUUGUUCUGUGGUGGCGGCGCUCCUGCAUAGUUGUUGGGCGGUGGUGUUCCACCAUAGUUGUUGGGCGGUGGUGUUCCACCAUAGUUGUUGGGCGGUGGUGUUCCACCAUAGUUGUUCUGCGGCAUCCCUCCGAGGUUGUUCUGUGGCAUCCCUCCGAGGUUGUUCUGUGGCAUCCCUCCAAGGUUGUUCUGUGGCAUGCUUCCCAUAUUUGGUGACAUGUUGCUGCUGGAAGGGACGUUGUUAGGGGGCAUGCCACUCAUAUUAGGUGCAGGGUUUGGCAUACCCUGGUUCUGAAAAUUGCGGUUCUGCAUGUUCUCCCUUCUUCUUUCAAAGUUUCUAGAUCUAUCGUAGCUGCGAGGCCUAUCAUUGCGCCUAUUACGCUCAUUAGC